CGCGCUUCACCUAGGCCUUGGCCGGCGAGUCUCGCGGGAAACUGAGGAUAGUACCCGGUAGACCACUUAUCCGGGAAUGGUUAGUGGUUAAAAUGAUUCGUCGCCGAGGAUGGGACUGCGGCCUAUCCGCUUGUUGGUGAGGUAAUGGACCACCGAGGCGAUGACAGGUACGGGCUCUGAGAGGAGAAGCCCGGAUAUGGGUACUGAGACAAGGACCCAGGCCCUAUGGGGCGCAGCCGGCGAGAAAACUUUGCAAUGUGCGAAAGCACAACAAGGUUAAUCCGAGUGAUUUCUGCUAAAGGAAUCUUUUGUUAGUUCUAAAAAUACUAGUGAAUAAGGGGUGGGCCAGUUCUGGUGUCUGCCGCCGCGGUAAAACCGGCCCCUCAAGUGGUCAGGAGGAUUAUUGGGCCUAAAGCAUCCUUAGCCUGUUCUAUAAGUUUGCGGUUAAAUCUAUACACUCAACACAAAGGCUGCCUUAGAUACUGUACAACUAGGGAGUGGGAGAGGUAGACGGUACUCGAUAGGAAGGGCUAAAAUCCUUUGAUCUAUUGAUGACCACCUGUGUCGAAGGCGGUCUACCUGAACUCGUUCUACGGACAGGGAUGAAAGCUGGGGGAGCAGACCCGAGUAGAUACCCGGGUAGUCCCAGCUGUAGACGAUGCAUACUCGAUGAUGCAAUGGCAUAGAGCUAUUGCAGUAUCUCACCGAAGCCGUUAAGUCUGCCGCCUGGGAAGUACGUGCGCAAGUAUGAACUUACAUGAAUUGACAGGCC
RNAcentral lists this ribosomal RNA (772 nucleotides) under crenarchaeote SCGC AAA007-J08. RNAcentral describes it as "SSU rRNA". It matches the Rfam family "Archaeal small subunit ribosomal RNA", at positions 99 to 874 of the family's 1478-position model. Lineage: Archaea; Thermoproteati; Thermoproteota. The record is from RNAcentral.